Molecule: ribosomal RNA, 527 nt
Filed under: Messatoporus compressicornis
Lineage: Eukaryota; Metazoa; Arthropoda; Insecta; Hymenoptera; Ichneumonidae
Description: partial 16S large subunit ribosomal RNA
Rfam family: Archaeal large subunit ribosomal RNA (bases 387-527)
Source: RNAcentral
UUAAAGAUUAUAAUUUUAAGUYUAAUYUGCUCCAUGAAAUUAUUUAAAUANGCUGCAGUAUCCUAACUGUAUGAAAGUAGCAUAGUCAAUAGUUUUUUAAUUAAAAGCUGGAAUGAACGAUUUGAUAAGGUAAUUAUUGUCUCAAAUUUAAUAGAAUUAGAAUUUUUUUUUUAGUAAAAAUACUAAAAUUUAUUUAAAAGACGAGAAGACCCUAUAGAUUUUUAUAAUUAAAUUUUAUAACUAAUUUUAAACUUAUAAUUAAUUAUUUAAGAUUUAAUUAUUAGGUUGGGGUAAUUAUUAAAUUAAUUUAAUUUUAAUAUAUUAUAAACAAAAAUUAUUGAGUAUUUGAUCUUGAAAUUUAAAUUAUUAGAAUAAAAUACCUUAGGGAUAACAGCGUAAUUUUUUUGGAGAGAUCAUAUUUAUAAAAAAGUUUGCGACCUCGAUGUUGAAUUAAGAUAAAAUUUUAGCGUAGGAGUUAAAAAUUUUUGGBCUGUUCGACCAUUAAAAUCUUACGUGAUCUGAGUUCA